This 518-nucleotide ribosomal RNA is filed under the name uncultured bacterium. Its description in RNAcentral is "bacterial SSU rRNA". It matches the Rfam family "Bacterial small subunit ribosomal RNA", at positions 40 to 518 of the family's 1533-position model. The record is from RNAcentral.
CGGCGCACAUAAGACAUGCAAGUCGAACGGAAGCCGUUAUAAUUGAUUCAGAUAUGAACAGAGAACUUGUUCGAAGGAAUUUGACGUUGAUUUUAUAACAAUGACUUUAGUGGCGGACUGGUGAGUAACGCGUGAGCAACCUGCCUAUUAGAGGGGAAUAACAGUGAGAAAUCAUUGCUAAUACCGCAUAUGCCAUAGUAGUCACAUGAUUACAGUGGGAAAGGAGUAAUCCGCUAAUAGAUGGGCUCGCGUCUGAUUAGAUAGUUGGUGGGGUAACGGCCUACCAAGUCAACGAUCAGUAGCCGGACUGAGAGGUUGAACGGCCACAUUGGGACUGAGAUACGGCCCAGACUCCUACGGGAGGCAGCAGUCGGGAAUAUUGCGCAAUGGAGGAAGACUCUGACGCAGUGACGCCGCGUAUAGGAUGAAGGUCUUCGGGUUGUAAACUAUUGUCGUUAGGGAAGAAAAAGGACAGUACCUAAGGAGGAAGCUCCGGCUAACUACGUGCCAGCCGCCGC